Molecule: ribosomal RNA, 26 nt
Filed under: Helianthus verticillatus
Lineage: Eukaryota; Viridiplantae; Streptophyta; Magnoliopsida; Asterales; Asteraceae
Description: partial 18S ribosomal RNA
Source: RNAcentral
UACCUGGUUGAUCCUGCUAGUAGUCA